GUUUGAAAUGUCUUGGUCUUGUCCAGGAAGUCUCUUGUGGCUGUGGUGGGCUAUGUAGGUCAGCGGUAUCCAGCUAGACAUGCGUGUGCUAGAGAAAUGAAAGUCUGCCCUAUAGCAGCAUUCAGAGGACUCUGAAAUGUCCACCCUGGUCAGUGAGUUCGACAGACAGCAGUUGUCAGCAAAAGGCAGUGCAACAAACCUGCUGCCAGGAAGGCUGCAGCUGCUUUUAUUUCUUGUGAUCAGGGCCACGAUUUGGGGUGCUUGGAUGGAGAUGAAAAUGGAAGUAAUGAAACUUGGCUGAUUUCAGCUUUUUUAAAGCUCCAAGAAUUAGUCAUGCUAGGCAAAAGACAUCAGUCAAAUGUGACUCAGAUCCUCCUCCUCUCUCCCUGCGGGGAGUGUAAAAGAGUUGGUCUAACUCAUGUUCGUUGUCCAAGCAGGGCAUCAUUCCCACUUUACGGACGUCUUUGAGUCUCGUGAUGUCCCCUGUGCUUAUGGCUGGGAACGUUUGUGAGCUGGUGGUAUUCCUCAGAGUUGGUAAUGCAAAAGAAAACUAGCAAGUCCAAGCCCGGGAACGUUCACAGCUGUAGGAGAAGUUUUUGCUGCAGGAGCAGAGGACUGAAGGCAGUCUGCUUUCCAAUGGGGUUGUCUCCUGCUCUUCUUCCCCGUGGCAGGGGGAGCAGCACGGAGGUGACCCCCAUGCUGCUGGGUCUGCCCAUUGCCCAGUUCACUGCUGCUGCGUGGGGAGCCCGUGGGUGGGUGCAGGCACCCAGCGAAGGAAGCAGGAUGGGAGAAGGAGAGAGCUCUGACUGUUCCUAGCGUGGAAGUGGAGCUGCUGAGCAGAAGCCAGCAGCUCUGCUGCUGCUUUUCUACUCAGAAAAGAGACCAGCUGACUGAGGAAGUACUGUUGCCUUCAGCAGCAAAAAGGAUUUGGGCUUCAAGCCUGCCUCAAAAGGGCUACAGAGUAAGAAGCACUCAGCAUUUCACCAUUCCUGUGGAAAAGACCAACCAAAGGUUUAAUGAAGGAAGUCUUGUUUCUGAACAUUUAACCACGGUUCCAAUCUCAUAAUGGUCCCUAGCAGGAAGGAGGAGGGGGCUCUGGUUCAAUUUCUUGCUUCCAGAGAAGACACGUGCCCUGGGCUUUUCCACAUCAGCUGAUCUUUUCAACAUCAGACAAGCAGAAUAUUGUUGGCUUGCUCAAGUCCAGCUCUUGAAUACAGGACUGGAAAUGAGGUGGCAGAAGGCAAAGGUAAAGCAAGAGCUCAGGUAUGUUCCCUGCUUAUCCUGUGACAUAAAAAUAUAGAUCAGGUGGCCCGAUGCUUCCUGCUGCUGCCUAACCAUCAGUCCUGUCCCUAAGGAGAGGGGAGAAGGAACAAAAGGCUCAAUCCAUGAUAGCUGUAGUAGGGAUUGACGUGCUUCCCCAGCUGGGUGCAGCAUGCAUUCCCAGGAUUGGCAACAAAUUCAGCUCAGUUCAGCUAUGGAUGAGCUUUCCUUGGAAACUACUGGAUUGAUUCUCUACCUUUGGCUACAGGUAAUUGCUUUGCCUCCUGUAGUUAUUUUGGGAUAAUUAGAAGAAGAUUGUGCAAAGAGUAGCAAAACUGUUGUUGCAUCCUCUCUCUUUGUGGUCUCUUCCUUUAGAAGUGAUUAUGAUUUUUUUUUUUUUUUGGCCCAGUCUGUCUUCAUGCUUUCUACCUAGCUGAUCUGUUACCAGUGUGGAAUAGGAAGGGAAAAUGAAAGUAUACUUUCAGCACAUUGCUAUGUUCUGUUCAUUUUUACAGCACAGUAACUAGUGCAAGCCAUUAUUGGAACUGCAGUGGAAAAGCCGAAUGAUUUAAGGACUUUAAAAUUCACAUUUUCUUCCAGCCUGAUAUAGUUAUGGACUGUUAAUACACUGGGCUGAACUCUGGAAUAGAUGCAGCUCAGUAAAAGAUAAACACAUUCUGGCUGGCUUAGCAUGUAUUAAGGCAGUUUUCUUAUGCUCUCUCUUUAAUCAUUUGACUUUUUUUUUCCUUCGUGAAGUGGUACACUUUUAAAAGGUGAAAAGAGGCAAGGUAGCAGACGGUUCCUCUAAUAAGGGUUCAUAAAAUUCCCACUGAUCUGUUACUUUAGAAGUGCUAUCAUGCUGCUGUGCUUAAUGAAAGAUCAGUCAUGUAAAUUGUUCCUGAGAUUCAACUUAAUUACAUGCAAGAGAUGGAACCUCUGUUACAAAGGCCUAAUAAAAUAUCAGGUGGCUUUAAUUAAGCCAGUAAGGUGGCAGUUUUAAACUGAAAUCUGCUUGCUUAAUAAUGAAAAUGACAGUGGAUUUGAGCAAGGCAUUUAUGGACAGCAUGUCACUUCUCCACUGCAAGGUAAGAGUCACAAUUUUCAAGCUGUGUUAGUGAGAAACCCUAAGUUCAUUGUCAGUGUUUAUCCUCUAAGCCUCAGACUACAUGGCCCACACCUGGAGAUUUCCUAUUGAAAGAUUAUUUUAGCCUGAGACUUGGCAUAUUAUAACUAGGGUGAUUUUUCUUAAUACUUGUAAAGGAAGUCAUUUAUCCAGAUAAAUAAUUGAAAUCUGGAGAUGCUUCAGGAUGACAUGGCUGUGACUGUUACUAAAUAUUGAAACGUUAAAUAAAUAAAGAUGCUUAAAGUUUUAGACCUUUAAUGUGACUAAUUUUGUAAUCGUUUGAAUGCCUUCCUAUAGAUUUUCAAUCACAUAUUCGGGAUUUGGA
Molecule: long non-coding RNA, 2708 nt
Organism: Oxyura jamaicensis (ruddy duck)
Lineage: Eukaryota; Metazoa; Chordata; Aves; Anseriformes; Anatidae
Exons: 6
Source: RefSeq, a predicted model, not a curated record